GAUGAAGAACGCAGUGAAAUGCGAUAAGUAAUGCGAAUUGCAGAAUUCCAGUGAGUCAUCGAAUCUUUGAACGCAUAUUGCGCCCUUUGGUAUUCCGAAGGGCAUGCCUGUUCGAGCGUCAUUAUAACCACUCAAGCUCUCGCUUGGUAUUGGGGCUCGCGGUUCCGCGGCCCCUAAAAUCAGUGGCGGUGCCUGUCGGCUCUACGCGUAGUAAUACUCCUCGCGAUUGAGUCCGGUAGGUCUACUUGCCAGCAACCCCCAAUUUUUACAGGUUGACCUCGGAUCAGGUAGGGAUACCCGCUGAACUUAAGCAUAUCAAUAAGCGGAGGA
RNAcentral lists this unclassified non-coding RNA (330 nucleotides) under soil metagenome. RNAcentral describes it as "partial contains 5.8S ribosomal RNA, internal transcribed spacer 2, and large subunit ribosomal RNA". The stretch from base 1 to 121 matches the Rfam family "5.8S ribosomal RNA", at positions 35 to 154 of the family's 154-position model. The record is from RNAcentral.